This 225-nucleotide long non-coding RNA is filed under the name Ananas comosus (pineapple). Its description in RNAcentral is "long non-coding RNA (ACOM_LNC018017)". Lineage: Eukaryota; Viridiplantae; Streptophyta; Magnoliopsida; Poales; Bromeliaceae. The record is from RNAcentral.
UGCUGUUAUAUUGUCAUUAUACAUUAUUUUGAAAUUCCCUUCGACGGAUUCGUCUUCUUCCUGCCCUCUUGUUUCUUCCUUUUUGACUCAUUUUCUUCAUUCUCAAGGAUCUUCUUUUUCAACCCUUUUAUUUCUUUUCAAGAUCUUCUUCUUCAACUCCAAACUUCUUUCAAUGGCUCGGAUUUCUUCUCUCCCUUCAUCUCUAGAUCUUGACUACACUCUUCU